AAAAUGGCGUUGAGAGCUUUUCGAUUGUUUUUCAUGCUUUCGUUUGUUGAAGCAUCUAUUACAGCGUGGGCUCUGCUUGUGUCGGCCGACAAAGCUUUCACUGCAACGCAUUCGCAGUGGUGUGCGCUGUUGUUAUGUUUGCGUACCGCCGUUCUUGAAUAGUUGCAGAUGUCCCCCUAUUAUUUUCCACUGCCCACUUGCACACAGAACAGUGUGUCAAAUCAGAUGCAUUGUUGUAUUCCAACCAAGCAAACUGUUCCCGCCAUCUCGGUUGAAAUGUCCGGCCACGUUUACUUUCACCCCGACCUAUGGGCUGGCGGCUUGAAGAUGGUGUCUCAGUCUCACAUAUACCAGUUGUUGGUGGGGAGGUUCCCACUUUAACCCUACCGGCGAGCCGGGAUCAUAGAAACAUUAAAUAUUCAAAUCUGCAAGUCAUCAUUAAUUCUGACAAAAUUCUCAACUCGAAAUUCUUAGCGGUCUGCGACAAGGUGUGGUAAGAUUUCUGGUUAAGAAUUUUCUCGUGUAACAGGGUGUGUCGUGCUAAAUGUUAAUGUAUUGUUAUUGGGAAAAGUUAAGAAUUUUCUCGUGUGGCAGGGUGUGUCGUGCUAAACGUUAAGAUUUUGUUAUUAGGAAAAGUUAACAGUUUUCACGUGUGACAUGGUGUGUCAUUCUAAAUGUUGAGAAUUUUCUCGUGUGGCAGGGUGUGUCGUGCUAAAUGUUAAG
Molecule: non-coding RNA, 723 nt
Organism: Ciona intestinalis (vase tunicate)
Lineage: Eukaryota; Metazoa; Chordata; Ascidiacea; Phlebobranchia; Cionidae
Source: RefSeq, a predicted model, not a curated record